This 254-nucleotide ribosomal RNA is filed under the name uncultured bacterium. RNAcentral describes it as "partial 16S ribosomal RNA". It matches the Rfam family "Bacterial small subunit ribosomal RNA", at positions 524 to 776 of the family's 1533-position model. The record is from RNAcentral.
UACGUAGGGGGCAAGCGUUGUCCGGAAUCAUUGGGCGUAAAGAGCGUGUAGGCGGCCAGAUAAGUCCGCUGUGAAAUCUCGAGGCUCAACUUCGAGCUGUCGGUGGAAACUGUCUGGCUAGAGUCCGGAAGAGGAGAAUGGAAUUCCUGGUGUAGCGGUGAAAUGCGCAGAUAUCAGGAAGAACACCCGUGGCGAAGGCGGUUCUCUGGGACGGUACUGACGCUGAGAACGCGGAAAGCGUGGGAGCGAACAGG